GCGGCACAGUGAAGUUAAAAUGGCCCUUCAAAGACACCGUAGGAACCCAUGUGUGCUUGAGCUAACGCGCGGUCCCUAGAGUCCCGGGCAGCUGGUGGACGUGGAGCUGUCCUACACAAGUCUAUGGGUCACUGAGUCGCCUUUUAGUGCAUGCUGCUGACUGACACUACUACACUGCAUGACCAAAAGUAUCUGGACACCCCAUGGUCUGGUGGCUGUUUUUCAUGGUUUGGGCUAGGCCCCUUUGUUCCAGUGAAGGCAAAUAGACAAACGCAGCCAGCCGUGCACGUGCACAGUCCUGGCUCUAUGGAGACAUACGACACAACCAAUCUUCAUCUGAACCUAAAAAAAAAAAGAACAUUGUAUGACAUCACAGUGGUCUUUUACUUGUUUUUAGCAUUUCUAUAAUGUUUACAAUGCGCCAGAGAUGUGAACGUAUGCAACAUUUCAUUAUUAGCUAUUGAUCAAAACGUCCCCUCUUUGGCAGUGUAGGCCUGCAGAACUGCGUCUGACACAGUCACUAUCAGAUCUAGCACAUUUUUCCACAGUGGCCCGAACCGUCUGGCAACCGUCUUGUCACCACUGUCAUCAUGCUCAAGUGUCGGUUUGCUGAGCCUGGGAGAUUCGAAGUAGUGACAUUUAACCUCUCUGUGCACCAUUGUGCUUUCUUCCUGGAGCUUGGAGGAAUCAGAAAAGCAGAACAAACAUCGAGUCGCUGCUAAUGUUUAUAGCUUAUAGCGAACGUUAUGUUCAAGAUGUGUUCAAGCUAUACAAUACAAUACAAGUUUCACAGUAUAUAAAGAAAAAACUCAACAGCAUAUGUAUGGUAAUUUAUGAAUGUGUGAUUAAAAUAAUAAAUAAUAAAAUAC
Molecule: long non-coding RNA, 869 nt
Organism: Anguilla rostrata (American eel)
Lineage: Eukaryota; Metazoa; Chordata; Actinopteri; Anguilliformes; Anguillidae
Exons: 3
Source: RefSeq, a predicted model, not a curated record